AGAGUUUGAUCCUGGCUCAGGACGAACGCUGGCGGCGUGCCUAAUACAUGCAAGUCGAGCGCUAGGCAUUCCUUCGGGAAUGCUUGGAGCGGCGGACGGGUGAGUAACACGUGGGCAAUCUGCCUGUCAGACUGGAAUAACGCCUGGAAACGGGUGCUAAUGCCGGAUAGACAAUUUGGAGGCAUCUCCGAAUUGGGAAA
This 200-nucleotide ribosomal RNA is filed under the name uncultured bacterium. RNAcentral's name for it is "partial 16S ribosomal RNA". It matches the Rfam family "Bacterial small subunit ribosomal RNA", at positions 8 to 206 of the family's 1533-position model. The record is from RNAcentral.